RNAcentral lists this transfer RNA (71 nucleotides) under Loxodonta africana (African savanna elephant). It matches the Rfam family "tRNA". From Rfam's summary of the family: Transfer RNA (tRNA) molecules are approximately 80 nucleotides in length. The record is from Rfam by way of RNAcentral. Lineage: Eukaryota; Metazoa; Chordata; Mammalia; Proboscidea; Elephantidae.
GCAUUGGUGGUUCUGUGGUAGAACUCUAGACUUCCACGUGGGAGACCUGGGUUUAAUUCCCGGCCAAUGGC